Felis catus (domestic cat) is the source of this 799-nucleotide long non-coding RNA. RefSeq lists it as uncharacterized. The record is from RefSeq and is a predicted model, not a curated record. The transcript is spliced from 3 exons. Lineage: Eukaryota; Metazoa; Chordata; Mammalia; Carnivora; Felidae.
UAACAUGCCAAGGUAGUGGAUGAUUCUGAAGCAAUGGUGCUUUCCAGACAGCAUGUAUGCAAACUUCUACCUUCCCUGUGAGUUCUAGCUCCAUUCAUGAUGCUGACUGAUGAGGACAUAAUGGUGCUGAGUAAAUGUUUGUUGGUGGUGGCCAAGAGCUCAUGACAAAUGAGACCAGAAGACAAACAAUAUUAAAAUAUGACUGGAUGUAAAAUACGGAAUUUGAAAUCGUUGUGCAAGUUCAGUGGAUAAAACUGGCAAACUGGUCUCUGUUCCACGCACACUACAAAAAGAGAUAUUAUCUACAAAUAAAAUGCGUGGUGAAAUUUUUACGAACUUUGAAACCAGGACCCAGUUCUACCACUUAUUAGCUAUGAGACCUUGAAAAAGUCCUCUGCGUCUCAGAGUUUGUUUCCUUUUCUCAAAAGGAGUCACGUCUUCCUGAAGGCAUUAUAAAGAGAACUGAGGUGUGACUCUGGGAGAGGCUGGCUUCUGUUCCCACUCCCAGUCACUGCAAAAGCACAGAGCUUCUACUCAGUGGAAGAUGGAGGCUAUAAGGGGAAGGACUUUAUUUAGAAGACAGUAUGGAAAACUUCAUGCCCAAGGAUAUGCCGUCUUAAGAGUGAUCCAAGAGAGAAUAUCCAAGCUACCGUCCCUGACUGAACAUGUGGAAAACUCUGGAAGGCCCUUGAACUAUGACAGUCUCCAGGCCAGGCAUACAAAUUCAAUGGUAAAGAAUAAAAAUCUAACCGAUUAAAGGUGAAAGUACAACCUUUGACGAAUAAACGACUUAUGCUGA